This 1236-nucleotide long non-coding RNA is filed under the name Gossypium barbadense (sea-island cotton). RNAcentral describes it as "long non-coding RNA (GBAR_LNC023103)". The record is from RNAcentral. Lineage: Eukaryota; Viridiplantae; Streptophyta; Magnoliopsida; Malvales; Malvaceae.
UCGAGGUUGAGAAACUACUUUCCAAAGCUUUUUGUCUAUCCUUUGCCUGAUGGCUUUCCUCAAAUAAAGGUCUUUCUACUGGCUAGCCUUAGGAUUUUAUGGACAUUCAAAAAGAUAGGGAUUCAGAUGAAAUAGCAAAGAGAAUUCGAAGAGAGGAAUUGACUUGGGCUUACGACAUGGUUGUUUUCCCUUGGGGGCUAUAUCUUUCUUCCAUGGUAGGGCUCUAGGGGCAGGGCAUCUGUGAAUGAAUCCUUUGACUUUCCCUCCUACAAGGGGAAGGGACUACUCAUAUGGCUCACACGGGGACAAUAGAUAGAGGUUUUUUUUGAGAGCAAUAAACCUUGAACUCUUUAAGACCCUUAGAUGGAAUCACAAUCUCUGCUGUUCGCUAGGGGAAAAGCUAUCCAAGAGAGUUCUAUAAGUCCCGGUAUGCUACUUACGCUCGUUUAGUCCUUGUCCAUAAGAUUCAAAUAUAGCUGCUUUUUUCAAAGCAGGUCUUAGCACUGCACCUAGAUCCAAGGCUGCAACUCCAUCUGGUAAGGGGACUGCUGCAACGAGAACUUAAACUCAAAAUGAAUUUCAUCCCCCGAGAAUCUGCUAUCUCUAGCUUCCUUUCCUCCUUCUUCCUUUUCUGAUCCUGAUGGCUUGACAGAGUAAGGGACUAAUGAGACUGGGACUUAUAAUGGUAAUCUAGAAAGUGUUACCUCGGGGACUGCAUGCAACCUUUAACACUCAAACUGCAGGCUAGGCUUACCUUUUUUUAUUCUGCAACUGAAUUUGAUUGGGGACUGAGACUACUACAAGAGGGAAUGCCCCUACCAUGGCAAGAGAUAGCCCUAUAACCUGGUUUUCAGCAGAUCUAGAAUAUCCUGCCCCUCUUUCAACAAACUUGCUUGCUCACUUCCAAUCUAACGAGAAAGAAAAUCUCUAACUGGUCCUAGAGAAGAACCUGAAUGGCUUACAGGGCACUCUCCAUGGCUAGAAGAGGGAAUGACAAGAUUAGGAUGAAUGGAAGCUAGCCCUAAAAGUAUAUGGGUGGCAACUCACCCUCAUACUAGAUAUGAGUCAGCAAAGACAGGCCCUCGCUCGAUCUAUGAUAUCAGAGAAGAAUAUAGUUUAAGUUAUGGGGACUGCUACUGGCAUAUUACUCCCUUCAGUUAGUCUUCCCUGUUGGCUUGAAAAAUAAAUGUCUUGUUCACUCACUUGACCCUGUUUACUGCAUGAAAGAAAUCAUUA